RNAcentral lists this unclassified non-coding RNA (264 nucleotides) under uncultured Pseudotomentella. RNAcentral describes it as "sequence contains ITS2". Lineage: Eukaryota; Fungi; Basidiomycota; Agaricomycetes; Thelephorales; Thelephoraceae. The record is from RNAcentral.
AUAUCUCAACUGCUCUCAGCAUUUAAUGUUGGGAGUGAAGUUGGAAUUGGAGGAUAAUUGCUGGCGUGACCUUAAGUGGUUGCUUGUUGGCUCCUCUUGAAUGUAUGAGCUUUUCUAAUAGAUUAUGGCUUAAAGAACAGUAAUGUGAUAAUUAUCUACAUUAGUUGUGAAAAAGCUGUGAGUUUGAGUGACUUCAAGUAUGAAGGAACUCCUAUAGAAAAGGAUGAGUCUCGGAAAUAUUUUGGGACUUUGAUAUAUUGACAC